Molecule: ribosomal RNA, 434 nt
Filed under: uncultured bacterium
Lineage: Bacteria
Description: partial 16S ribosomal RNA
Rfam family: Bacterial small subunit ribosomal RNA
Source: RNAcentral
AGCGAACGCUGGCGGCAGGCCUAACACAUGCCAGUCGAACGAACCUUUCGGGGUUAGUGGCGGACGGGUGAGUAACACGUGGGAACGUGCCUUUAGGUUCGGAAUCACUCAGGGAAACUUGUGCUAAUACCGAAUGUGCCCUUCGGGGGAAAGAUUUAUCGCCUUUAGAGCGGCCCGCGUCUGAUUAGCUAGUUGGUUGAGGUAAUGGCUCACCAAGGCGACGAUCAGUAGCUGGUCUGAGAGGAUGAUCAGCCACAUUGGGACUGAGACACGGCCCAAACUCCGACGGGAGGGAGCAGUGGGGAAUCUUGCGCAAUGGGCGAAAGCCUGACGCAGCCAUGCCGCGUGAAUGAUGAAGGUCUUAGGAUUGUAAAAUUCUUUCACCGGGGACGAUAAUGACGGUACCCGGAGAAGAAGCCCCGGCUAACUUCGUG